GACGAACGCUGGCGGCGUGCUUAACACAUGCAAGUCGAACGGAAAGACCCUGCUUUUGUGGGGUGCUCGAGUGGCGAACGGGUGAGUAACACGUGAGUAACCUGCCCUUGACUUUGGGAUAACUUCAGGAAACUGGGGCUAAUACCGGAUAGGAGCUCCUGCUGCAUGGUGGGGGUUGGAAAGUUUCGGCGGUUGGGGAUGGACUCGCGGCUUAUCAGCUUGUUGGUGGGGUAGUGGCUUACCAAGGCUUUGACGGGUAGCCGGCCUGAGAGGGUGACCGGCCACAUUGGGACUGAGAUACGGACCAGACUCCUACGGGAGGCAGCAGUGGGGAAUAUUGCACAAUGGGCGGAAGCCUGAUGCAGCAACGCCGCGUGCGGGAUGACGGCCUUCGGGUUGUAAACCGCUUUCGCCUGUGACGAAGCGUGAGUGACGGUAAUGGGUAAAGAAGCACCGGCUAACUACGUG
RNAcentral lists this ribosomal RNA (468 nucleotides) under uncultured bacterium. Its description in RNAcentral is "partial 16S ribosomal RNA". It matches the Rfam family "Bacterial small subunit ribosomal RNA", at positions 28 to 507 of the family's 1533-position model. The record is from RNAcentral.